RNAcentral lists this long non-coding RNA (522 nucleotides) under Musa acuminata (dwarf banana). Its description in RNAcentral is "long non-coding RNA (MACU_LNC002796)". The record is from RNAcentral. Lineage: Eukaryota; Viridiplantae; Streptophyta; Magnoliopsida; Zingiberales; Musaceae.
GCCGCAAAGGACGAUCCUGCGCCACCAAAGCGCUACAACUGCUGCCAUGAUCCCGACGAGCAGCGCUCGCUUCCUGUUCAACGCAACAAUCAGGUCGACUUGGUCUCAUUAACGUCAAAGUUCCAGAUAACAGAGGAUCCCAUCAGUUCGUACCAGUUUGCCUGAUGGCUUGUCCUGUUUUAAUGACUCGGGGGAUAGUUUGGGUGUUGGCAGCAGCAAAAGUUGCAGAAGCUCUGGCAGCAAUGGAUGGGAAGGAGACGGUCAUCACUGGUCCUCAAGCAUGCAAGAAUCAAGAACCACACACCUGAUGAUUCGCGCUGUACGGGCUAUCUCUGCUUCGGAUCAAGCUAAAUCGCAGUGUUUCCAACAAAGCAAUCAGGGUUCUGAAAGCAACAUGUAUGUUACCAGCUUCUUCAGCCAAUCUAAUCAUUUUGGCUUCCUCUCCAUUUACUGAGUCGGACACGAUUUCUUAUCAGGAAAUCAGAGAUCUAUGAUUGCCUUAUUAACAGCAUGAGAAUUUAC